This 1018-nucleotide long non-coding RNA is filed under the name Homo sapiens (human). Its description in RNAcentral is "HSALNT0352915". The record is from RNAcentral. Lineage: Eukaryota; Metazoa; Chordata; Mammalia; Primates; Hominidae.
UCAAGCUAUCCACUUGCCUCAGCCUCCCAAAUUGCUGAGAUUAGAAGAAUGAGCCACUGUGCCUGUGACUUACUUCUAACCCACAGAAUAGAGCAACAGUGAGAGGAUGUCAAUUCUGUGAUAGAUUGCAAAAUAUUGUAAGUUCCUAGCAGUCUUUCUCAUUGGUUUCAAUAAAAAAAAGCUGCUGUGCUGGAGGGACCCAUGAGGCAAAGAACUGAGAGCAGCCUUUAGCUAACAGCCGGCAAGGAAUGAGGUGCUUGGUCCAGCAAUCACAGAGAAACUGAAUCCUGCUGAUGAUCAUGAGGGUGAGCUUGGAAGCAGAUUCUGUCCCAGAUGAACUUUGAUUGUGUCUUGUUAGAAACCCUGGACCAACUCCUUGAUUGCACCUGUGAGAGGCCCUGAAGCGGAGGGCCCAGCUAAGGUGUGUCUGGAUUUCUGACCCACAGAAACUGAGAUCAUAAAUGUGUGGUUUUAAGCCCUACUCCAGCACUUUCACAGUCAUUUACGGCAUCUGCAGAGCAGUGAAAAAUUUGAAUUGCCUGAGAUACAUGCUCCCUGCUGAAGUCGCACAAGCUGGCCAAUCCUGCUAAUCCUUUAAAACUCACCUGGAGGGAAGGCCUCCUUCUGCAAAGCCUCUCUUGAUGCAGAUUAUCAGCUUUCACUCUCUACCAGAUGGCAAGGAUAUUGCUGUUGGCUCAUAGGAUGUGAACAGUGGUGUUGAGAUUACCCUCAUUUGGCUGAUGAUGUCAUUGAGGCCCAGAGAAGUUUUUGGCACAGAGCACUGUGUAGCUGGCACUUCUCUACUGGCCCGAAUGAGAAAACUUCCUCAGAGCAAAAUGUCAAGCACCAAAUAAGAUUCAUGUUUACUGUGAAGUGAUUGCUGCUUUUUAAAUGCUUAUCAGAAGCCGAAGGACAAACUCAGUAGGUUGAUUCAUGCUGAGCUCGACUACCUCCGUGAGAAAUGACUCUCCUGUAGGGCUCGAUGACCUUCAUGUCAAUGCGCUGCUCUUGUUCUCCA